AAUCAGGACUAGCCUUUCAUCCCAGGGUAUAACAGGUGAUUCAGAACUAGCCUUUCAUCCCAGGGUAUAACAUCAAUCAACAGGUGAAUCAGGACUAGCCUUUCAUCCCAGGGUAUAACAGGUGAUUCAGGACUAGCCUUUCAUCCCAGGGUAUAACAUCAAUCAACAGGUGAUUCAGGACUAGCCUUUCAUCCCAGGGUAUAACACCAAUCAACAGGUGAAUCAGGACUAGCCUUUCAUCCCAGGGUAUAACAGGUGAUUCAGAACUAGCCUUUCAUCCCAGGGUAUAACAGGUGAAUCAGGACUAGCCUUUCAUCCCAGGGUAUAACAGGUGAAUCAGGACUAGCCUUUCAUCCCAGGGUAUAACAGGUGAUUCAGAACUAGCCUUUCAUCCCAGGGUAUAACAUCAAUCAACAGGUGAAUCAGGACUAGCCUUUCAUCCCAGGGUAUAACAGGUGAUUCAGAACUAGCCUUUCAUCCCAGGGUAUAACAGGUGAAUCAGGACUAGCCUUUCAUCCCAGGGUAUAACAGGUGAUUCAGAACUAGCCUUUCAUCCCAGGGUAUAACAGGUGAAUCAGGACUAGCCUUUCAUCCCAGGGUAUAACAGGUGAAUCAGGACUAGCCUUUCAUCCCAG
This is a non-coding RNA of Salmo salar (Atlantic salmon), 635 nucleotides long. Lineage: Eukaryota; Metazoa; Chordata; Actinopteri; Salmoniformes; Salmonidae. The record is from RefSeq and is a predicted model, not a curated record.